This 2903-nucleotide ribosomal RNA is filed under the name Escherichia coli. Its description in RNAcentral is "23S ribosomal RNA". It matches the Rfam family "Bacterial large subunit ribosomal RNA". Lineage: Bacteria; Pseudomonadati; Pseudomonadota; Gammaproteobacteria; Enterobacterales; Enterobacteriaceae. The record is from RNAcentral.
GGUUAAGCGACUAAGCGUACACGGUGGAUGCCCUGGCAGUCAGAGGCGAUGAAGGACGUGCUAAUCUGCGAUAAGCGUCGGUAAGGUGAUAUGAACCGUUAUAACCGGCGAUUUCCGAAUGGGGAAACCCAGUGUGUUUCGACACACUAUCAUUAACUGAAUCCAUAGGUUAAUGAGGCGAACCGGGGGAACUGAAACAUCUAAGUACCCCGAGGAAAAGAAAUCAACCGAGAUUCCCCCAGUAGCGGCGAGCGAACGGGGAGCAGCCCAGAGCCUGAAUCAGUGUGUGUGUUAGUGGAAGCGUCUGGAAAGGCGUGCGAUACAGGGUGACAGCCCCGUACACAAAAAUGCACAUGCUGUGAGCUCGAUGAGUAGGGCGGGACACGUGGUAUCCUGUCUGAAUAUGGGGGGACCAUCCUCCAAGGCUAAAUACUCCUGACUGACCGAUAGUGAACCAGUACCGUGAGGGAAAGGCGAAAAGAACCCCGGCGAGGGGAGUGAAAAAGAACCUGAAACCGUGUACGUACAAGCAGUGGGAGCACGCUUAGGCGUGUGACUGCGUACCUUUUGUAUAAUGGGUCAGCGACUUAUAUUCUGUAGCAAGGUUAACCGAAUAGGGGAGCCGAAGGGAAACCGAGUCUUAACUGGGCGUUAAGUUGCAGGGUAUAGACCCGAAACCCGGUGAUCUAGCCAUGGGCAGGUUGAAGGUUGGGUAACACUAACUGGAGGACCGAACCGACUAAUGUUGAAAAAUUAGCGGAUGACUUGUGGCUGGGGGUGAAAGGCCAAUCAAACCGGGAGAUAGCUGGUUCUCCCCGAAAGCUAUUUAGGUAGCGCCUCGUGAAUUCAUCUCCGGGGGUAGAGCACUGUUUCGGCAAGGGGGUCAUCCCGACUUACCAACCCGAUGCAAACUGCGAAUACCGGAGAAUGUUAUCACGGGAGACACACGGCGGGUGCUAACGUCCGUCGUGAAGAGGGAAACAACCCAGACCGCCAGCUAAGGUCCCAAAGUCAUGGUUAAGUGGGAAACGAUGUGGGAAGGCCCAGACAGCCAGGAUGUUGGCUUAGAAGCAGCCAUCAUUUAAAGAAAGCGUAAUAGCUCACUGGUCGAGUCGGCCUGCGCGGAAGAUGUAACGGGGCUAAACCAUGCACCGAAGCUGCGGCAGCGACACUAUGUGUUGUUGGGUAGGGGAGCGUUCUGUAAGCCUGUGAAGGUGUGCUGUGAGGCAUGCUGGAGGUAUCAGAAGUGCGAAUGCUGACAUAAGUAACGAUAAAGCGGGUGAAAAGCCCGCUCGCCGGAAGACCAAGGGUUCCUGUCCAACGUUAAUCGGGGCAGGGUGAGUCGACCCCUAAGGCGAGGCCGAAAGGCGUAGUCGAUGGGAAACAGGUUAAUAUUCCUGUACUUGGUGUUACUGCGAAGGGGGGACGGAGAAGGCUAUGUUGGCCGGGCGACGGUUGUCCCGGUUUAAGCGUGUAGGCUGGUUUUCCAGGCAAAUCCGGAAAAUCAAGGCUGAGGCGUGAUGACGAGGCACUACGGUGCUGAAGCAACAAAUGCCCUGCUUCCAGGAAAAGCCUCUAAGCAUCAGGUAACAUCAAAUCGUACCCCAAACCGACACAGGUGGUCAGGUAGAGAAUACCAAGGCGCUUGAGAGAACUCGGGUGAAGGAACUAGGCAAAAUGGUGCCGUAACUUCGGGAGAAGGCACGCUGAUAUGUAGGUGAAGCGACUUGCUCGUGGAGCUGAAAUCAGUCGAAGAUACCAGCUGGCUGCAACUGUUUAUUAAAAACACAGCACUGUGCAAACACGAAAGUGGACGUAUACGGUGUGACGCCUGCCCGGUGCCGGAAGGUUAAUUGAUGGGGUCAGCGCAAGCGAAGCUCUUGAUCGAAGCCCCGGUAAACGGCGGCCGUAACUAUAACGGUCCUAAGGUAGCGAAAUUCCUUGUCGGGUAAGUUCCGACCUGCACGAAUGGCGUAAUGAUGGCCAGGCUGUCUCCACCCGAGACUCAGUGAAAUUGAACUCGCUGUGAAGAUGCAGUGUACCCGCGGCAAGACGGAAAGACCCCGUGAACCUUUACUAUAGCUUGACACUGAACAUUGAGCCUUGAUGUGUAGGAUAGGUGGGAGGCUUUGAAGUGUGGACGCCAGUCUGCAUGGAGCCGACCUUGAAAUACCACCCUUUAAUGUUUGAUGUUCUAACGUGGACCCGUGAUCCGGGUUGCGGACAGUGUCUGGUGGGUAGUUUGACUGGGGCGGUCUCCUCCUAAAGAGUAACGGAGGAGCACGAAGGUUGGCUAAUCCUGGUCGGACAUCAGGAGGUUAGUGCAAUGGCAUAAGCCAGCUUGACUGCGAGCGUGACGGCGCGAGCAGGUGCGAAAGCAGGUCAUAGUGAUCCGGUGGUUCUGAAUGGAAGGGCCAUCGCUCAACGGAUAAAAGGUACUCCGGGGAUAACAGGCUGAUACCGCCCAAGAGUUCAUAUCGACGGCGGUGUUUGGCACCUCGAUGUCGGCUCAUCACAUCCUGGGGCUGAAGUAGGUCCCAAGGGUAUGGCUGUUCGCCAUUUAAAGUGGUACGCGAGCUGGGUUUAGAACGUCGUGAGACAGUUCGGUCCCUAUCUGCCGUGGGCGCUGGAGAACUGAGGGGGGCUGCUCCUAGUACGAGAGGACCGGAGUGGACGCAUCACUGGUGUUCGGGUUGUCAUGCCAAUGGCACUGCCCGGUAGCUAAAUGCGGAAGAGAUAAGUGCUGAAAGCAUCUAAGCACGAAACUUGCCCCGAGAUGAGUUCUCCCUGACUCCUUGAGAGUCCUGAAGGAACGUUGAAGACGACGACGUUGAUAGGCCGGGUGUGUAAGCGCAGCGAUGCGUUGAGCUAACCGGUACUAAUGAACCGUGAGGCUUAACCUU